CUUUCAUUCAGUUUCCAUAAAGUCAUCGAAAUGUAAACUCAAUUUUUUGCAUCCCACAUGUUGGGGAUUUAAAUACCUUACCUUAGGGCAUUAUUCCUGUUGCCUUUUGCCCAUCACAAGGCAUUUUAAGUAAAUAUGCAUCUGUAAAGCAUACAUUUUAUAUUUGAAGGGUUAUGACCCCUAUAUUUCUUUGGUGGCUCAGCUAGCAUCCAGACUUACAACCGAUUGUGGCUUCAAUCCAUAUAAACAUAAUAAUUAAAAAUUAUUAUGGUAAACAAUAAAUUAAAAUAAGGGUCUUUUAUUUAUGUUAAAAGAAUCUUAAGUAGAAUAAGUAGAAAGUAAGAGAGAAAGAUCGUCGUAAGUUGGAUGACAAAUAUAAAGAAGGCGAUGAGUACAGAAAAGAAUGGCAACAAGAAAUUGGAGACCGUGAAAAAGACUAUACGAGUAUAAAUUGAUGUGUAUAAGCAUAUCCAAAAUUAUUGAAAGUAUGUUUUUUAUAACUCAUGGAUGAAACUUUUACUAGUAAAUUAUUUGUAUGAA
This is a long non-coding RNA of Diabrotica virgifera virgifera (western corn rootworm), 540 nucleotides long. RefSeq lists it as uncharacterized. The transcript has 2 exons. The record is from RefSeq and is a predicted model, not a curated record. NCBI's taxonomy places the organism in Eukaryota, Metazoa, Arthropoda, Insecta, Coleoptera, Chrysomelidae.